This is an RNA transcript of Caenorhabditis elegans, 1436 nucleotides long. It is a transcript of the gene named Non-coding transcript of protein-coding gene ceh-89, with no coding region annotated. The transcript has 7 exons. The record is from RefSeq and is marked reviewed. NCBI's taxonomy places the organism in Eukaryota, Metazoa, Nematoda, Chromadorea, Rhabditida, Rhabditidae.
AUGGCUCCAUCAAAAAGAAGUUCGAAAAAGUCACGCACAAAAAAUGUCAGGAGAGAGACGGAAAACUCAAAAACUCAGAAACAAUCAACACGGAAUCUUCCGAACAGAGCUUGCAAACUGAAAUCACUUCCAGCUACAACAAAGUCACAUUCGGAUUCAGCAGAUCAAACACUUGGAAUCGAAAGAUCAAGACGUGAAGAUUCUUCGUCAUCCGAAUUAUCCGAAUGUUACUCUGCACAGAAUUAUUUGAUUCAAAACGCGUACUACUCGGAAAAAUAUGCUCCAGCUAUCAUACACAAAUUGCUUCCUGCCUUUGAGGCAAACAAAAAUCCAAACAACGAUGAAAUUUUGGAAAUAAUGGCAGAUACAGGAUUAUCUCGAAAAGAAGUUCGUCGCUGGUUCCAAUGGCGUAAUGGCACAAACUUCAGAAUUGUUAGGCCAGUGACUGAGGAGCAGAAAAAACGGGCUGCUGAACGAGAAAGAAGCAGAGCUCAUUUGAAAGUGGACCUGGAACAGGUGAAUCCAAUACUAGAAGCUAUUCCUACAAGGAAUCGGAACUGUGUCGCGGGGGGAAUACUGCAACUAGACGUUCAGUCAUUUAAAGAGCCUGAACUAAUUGUAUAUGGUUGGUGGCCAUUUGGGACUGUGGAAAUGGAUGAUUUCGAAACGUACGAUUAUCCUUGGGAUGAUGAUGGAGAAGUUGAUAGGGAAUGGUAAAUAACAACGGACCCGAUCUGAAAAAGAAUUGUUGAAGAAACACCCAUUGUAUUGACAACAAAAAAGCAGCAUUUUAAAAUAAAGAUAACACAUUAACUAUUUAUCUGUCUGUUCCCCAUUUUCACUGACUCCACUCUUACAUCUACUUUAAGGGUCCUUUUUCCAUCCUUCUUUGCAGACCUAACAAAUCUAAAAAAACAAUCGUAUAAUAUCUGAAUUAAUUAACCUUUCACGACUUGUAAUUAACCCAUAUUAUUAUAUUUGCUUGGAAAAAUAGGAUUUUUUAAAAAAUGUUGACAGAUCCUUUCCAAUCAUCAAUUUCCCAUAUUCACCAUGUCAAAAACACGUUAAGUAUUUACGAGAACUCAAGCAUGCUCUGUAGAGAACUGUUUAAAUUUUCCUUAUUUUAUGUUUCCGGUUUGCCGACCUGUUUGAGAUUUCAAAGCUACAGUAUUUUCAAAACGAUGUUGCUUUAAUACUUAUGCUACAUUUAUUUCUCUAUUGGACCUGCACUCAAUAAUAUCAAUUGAGACAUACAUUUCCAGUCCUUAUCUAUUUGUCUUACUAAAAUGUGAACUUUUAUCAGUCUUGCUUUCAAGUUAUUUUAUUCCAUUUCAGUUGUAUUUUUUAAUAACUUUUAAUAUUUUUGAAAUGCGCUGUUAAUAUUUUUAAUUGAUACUUUCUAUUUAAUUUAAAUUGUUUAUUCCGUGUUUUUACGU